GACGAACGCUGGCGGCGUGCUUAACACAUGCAAGUCGAACGGAAAGGCCCUUCUUUUGUUGGGUGCUCGAGUGGCGAACGGGUGAGUAACACGUGAGUAACCUGCCCUUGACUUUGGGAUAACUUCAGGACACUGGGGCUAAUACCGGAUAGGAGCUCCUGCUGCAUUGUGGGGGUUGGACAGUUUCGGCGGUUGUGUAUGGAUUCGCGGCGUUUCAGCUUGUUGGUGGGGUAGUGGCGUAGCAAGGCUUUGACGGGUAGGCGGCCUGAGAGGGUUACCGGCCACAUUGGGACUGAGAUACGGCGCAGACUCCGACGGGAGGCAGCAGUGGGGAAUAUUGCACAAUGGGCGGAAGCCGGAUGCAGCAACGCCGCGUGCGGGAUGACGGCCUUCGGGUUGUAAACCGCUUUCGCCUGUGACGAAGCGUGAGUGACGGUAAUGGGUAAAGAAGCACCGGCUAACUACGUG
This 468-nucleotide ribosomal RNA is filed under the name uncultured bacterium. RNAcentral describes it as "partial 16S ribosomal RNA". It matches the Rfam family "Bacterial small subunit ribosomal RNA", at positions 28 to 507 of the family's 1533-position model. The record is from RNAcentral.